Molecule: ribosomal RNA, 253 nt
Filed under: uncultured bacterium
Lineage: Bacteria
Description: partial 16S ribosomal RNA
Rfam family: Bacterial small subunit ribosomal RNA
Source: RNAcentral
UACGUAGGGACCAAGCGUUGUUCGGAUUUACUGGGCGUAAAGGGCGCGUAGGCGGCGCGGUAAGUCACUUGUGAAAUCUCUGAGCUUAACUCAGAACGGCCAAGUGAUACUGCAGUGCUAGAGUGUGGAAGGGGCAAUCGGAAUUCUUGGUGUAGCGGUGAAAUGCGCAGAUAUCAAGUGGAACACCUGAGGUGAAGACGGGUUGCUGGGCCAACACUGACGCUGAGGCGCGAAAGCCAGGGGAGCAAACGGG